RNAcentral lists this ribosomal RNA (491 nucleotides) under uncultured bacterium. RNAcentral's name for it is "partial 16S ribosomal RNA". It matches the Rfam family "Bacterial small subunit ribosomal RNA", at positions 29 to 506 of the family's 1533-position model. The record is from RNAcentral.
AGUGAACGCUGGCGGUAGGCCUAACACAUACAAGUCGAACGGCAGCACAGUAAGAGCUUGCUCUUACGGGUGGCGAGUGGCGGAUGGGUGAGGAAUACAUCGGAAUCUACUUUUUCGUGGGUGAUAACGUAGGGAAACUUACGCUAAUACCGCAUACGACCUACGGGUGAAAGCAGGGGAUCUUCGGACCUUGCGUGAUUGAAUGAGCCGAUGUCGGAUUAGCUAGUUGGCGGGGUAAAGGCCCACCAAGGCGACGCUCCGUAGCUGGCCUGAGAGGAUGAUCGCCCACACUGAAACCGAGACACGGUCCAGACUCCUACGGGAGGCAGCAGUGGGGAAUAUUGGACAAUGGGCGAAAGCCUGAUCCAGCCAUACCGCGUGGGUGAAGAAGGCCUUCGGGUGGUAAAGCCCUUUUGUUGGGAAAGAAAAGCAGCAGGUUAAGACCCCGCUGUUCUGACGGUACCCAAAGAAUAGACACCGGCUAACUUCGU